This 321-nucleotide ribosomal RNA is filed under the name uncultured bacterium. RNAcentral's name for it is "bacterial SSU rRNA". It matches the Rfam family "Bacterial small subunit ribosomal RNA", at positions 480 to 793 of the family's 1533-position model. The record is from RNAcentral.
ACAGAAGAAAGCACCGGCUAACUCCGUGCCAGCAGCGCGGUAAUACGGAGGGUGCGAGCGUUAAUCGGAAUUACUGGGCGUAAAGACGCAUGCAGGUGGUUUGUUAAGUUCAGAUGUGAAAGACCCGGGGCGUCAACCUCGGAAUAGCAUUUGUAAACUAGGCAGACUAGAGUACUGUAGAGGGGGGUAGGAAUUUCAGGUGUAGCGGUGAAAUGCGUAGAGAUCUGAAGGAAUACCGGUGGCGAAGGCGGCCCCCUCGGACAGAUACUGACACUCAGAUGCGAAAGCGUGGGGAGCAAACAGGAUUAGAUACCCUGGUAG